This 429-nucleotide ribosomal RNA is filed under the name Gemmatimonadota bacterium. RNAcentral's name for it is "Gemmatimonadetes bacterium partial 16S ribosomal RNA". It matches the Rfam family "Bacterial small subunit ribosomal RNA", at positions 355 to 776 of the family's 1533-position model. The record is from RNAcentral. Lineage: Bacteria; Pseudomonadati; Gemmatimonadota.
UAGGGAAUCUUCGGCAAUGGACGAAAGUCUGACCGAGCAACGCCGCGUGAGUGAAGAAGGUUUUCGGAUCGUAAAACUCUGUUGUUAGAGAAGAACAAGGACGUUAGUAACUGAACGUCCCCUGACGGUAUCUAACCAGAAAGCCACGGCUAACUACGUGCCAGCAGCCGCGGUAAUACGUAGGUGGCAAGCGUUGUCCGGAUUUAUUGGGCGUAAAGCGAGCGCAGGCGGUUUCUUAAGUCUGAUGUGAAAGCCCCCGGCUCAACCGGGGAGGGUCAUUGGAAACCGGGUGACUUGAGGGCAGAAGAGGAGAGUGGAAUUUCAUGUGUAGCGGUGAAAUGCGUAGAUAAAGGGAGGAAAACCAGUAGCGAAGGCGGCUCUCUGGUCCGUAACCUACGCUGAGGAUCGAAAGCGUGGGGAGCAAACAGG